Zonotrichia leucophrys gambelii is the source of this 1835-nucleotide long non-coding RNA. RefSeq lists it as uncharacterized. The transcript is spliced from 3 exons. NCBI's taxonomy places the organism in Eukaryota, Metazoa, Chordata, Aves, Passeriformes, Passerellidae. The record is from RefSeq and is a predicted model, not a curated record.
AGAUGGGGCAUUUUCUCUCAAAGCUUGAGGCAGGAGUUGUAGCUCUAAGUGGAUUGCACUUGCUGUCAGAGGAGGCUGCUGACUUCCAGAGGAGCUGUGCCUCCAUAUUACCUUCUCCGAGGACCGAAAAUUAUAUCCUGGAAAAACAUCUGAAGAUGCUCUGCUAUUGAAACAUCUCCUCCAGAAGUUUGUGACUGGAUAGCCGCUGUGUCCUCGGCAAGGAAUCAGCUCCAGGGCAGAGUUACAGUUGGGGCAGGCUUUCUCUGUGAACAGACAGAAACUGCUGAAGAGAUUGGUAAAGGACAAGGAUGCUGCCUGAGAGUAAAGAGAGCUCAAGAGCAACAUGAUCAGACUUUUCCAAAAUUCAGAUUAACAUGUAUUGUUCAAGGAAACGCAAUAUAGACUACCAAGCAUAGCUAAAUGGUAUGAACUAGAGCUGCCCGCUAGAUGUAUAUGCUAAUAAUUUAAAGGAUUUAAAUCCAUAGCCCCUUAAAUAUUUGCAAGCAGACAUUGAUGAAAUUUGGAAUUAAUCAGUCAUUGCAAUUGUGCCUUAGCCUGCACACAAGUAAGAGUGACUCCAGCUCGGAAAUCAAGCCCGGAUGAAGGAAACGGGGUCCCUUGGGCACGGCAGCUCUCUCUGGGCGCCUCUCACUUUGUUGCUUCUGCCGAGCCUUGUCGCAGAUGGCGGGGCGGAGCUGCAGCCUGGCCCCGCCGGGCAGGGCACAGCUCCGGGCGCACAGCACCACGCCCAGGCAGGACUUCUUGAGGAUCUGGCAGUUGUGGUUGUUGGUGUUGCGCAUGGCCCAGCCGCUGAGGUGCCGCUGCGCGUUCUUCUCCUCUCUCGAGUAGAUGAGCCGCACGUAGCCAUCGGGCCACUCCUGGAAGGCGUCGAAGUGCUUGGGCUCCUGCAGCGCCGCAGGUGGGGCGGCAGGGCAAGGCAGCAAGGAGAAGGGCAAGAGAACGUUAUUAGUAUAUCACAACCUAAUUUUUUGCCGUGUUGUAAGACACAUUACACCAGGGGGAAAGCUUUUUCUAUCACGAGAAAAGCAGCAGAAAAAGAUAUAUUGAAAUAAUAUCUUGUUCAGAAGUGCUCUCUAAGAGGGCUAGGAUAGUUUGAGAUUCCAUAUCUGAAGAGAAAGUCAAGAUCCUUUCCUCUUUUGCAUCAUGACCCAUUGUAGCACGGUCUGCUGAUACGUAUGCCUUUUAUAGGGAAAUUAUUUACUGACCAGUGUACUAUCAGUGUGCUCAGAUAGGACACAAGCCACCCUGAUCACGACUGCUAUUAAGUUCUCCUUGUCGUGGGACAAUGCAGCGGCAGGCAGGAAACUAGAAGUUUUAGCUAUGGAAUGGCCUUUCUAAAGUGCAUCUAAUAUGAUUUGAAUAAGGCUUUCCCCAAAAAAGAGAUAAAAAUUUAGUCAUUGCAAAUAUACUUCCAAUAUACGUAUAGUGGCACAAACAGAAAACAUUUCAUUUUGGGAUUUCACAUCUUUCAGGAGUUCAUUAUGAAAAUGUAAUUACCAGAGGUAUGAAUGAAGAUUAUAAACUGCAAAUAUUUAUAAUGCAGUACAUAUUUAACAUACGUAUGUACCACAUAUGGGAGCAAUCCCAGCAAAGAGAAUGGAGCUACAAGCAUUUACAGCAUUAAGACAUUCAUGAAGACAUAACAGCAUGGGCUUUGUAAACUUAAAUAAACUCUAAGAUGAAUAAAGUUGCAAAUUAAAAAAUGCAUUUGGAACUCACAACUGGACAAAAGUGGAGUGCUCAUUGGCAUUAAAGUGUUGCAUCAAUAAACCAAAGAAAUAAUUAGAUAACUUGGGUAAUACUAGUAAACAGUC